RNAcentral lists this long non-coding RNA (704 nucleotides) under Homo sapiens (human). RNAcentral describes it as "LNC_000289". Lineage: Eukaryota; Metazoa; Chordata; Mammalia; Primates; Hominidae. The record is from RNAcentral.
UUUCCUCUUAGGAUAUGCAGAUGCAACCGUUGCUGCAGUCUGUGUAGAACUGCCUUUUAUUUCCCACGACCUUGACGUUCCUUUUUAACACUUUCUUCUUCCUCUUGGCGUUUCUCAUAGUGUGAGAAGUCAUCAAAAAUGGAAGUGGUGUGCUUGUAGCUGGCUAUAAUUUUCAACACCUGCUUAGCCUUUUCCAGAGGCACUUCCUGAGUGUCCCUAGAGUUGGUCACUGGUUUAUUCUCGUUGUUCUCUAGGCGAAUGUGUCGCAGUUGGCUAUUGGGAACGUCCUUCACAAAAAUCCACCUGACAUCAAAACGACCCUUCCAUUUGUCCUGGGACCACACACCUGCACAUGUGUUGUAGUCCACAGCAGAUUUCAUUUCUGCCACGCCACAGAAGUGUCCACUGCCGUUGACACUGAAAAGUAAGUAAACGGGGCCUUUCCCGUUCAUGGAACGAUAAGCAGCAUCCAGUCUCUUGUUACCAUGCUCUGUGCUGCACCAAAUAUUAUACUUAAUGGAACGGUGAAUAUCGUCCUCAGAGUAGCUCUUAAUGAUGAAAACCCGGCCAUGUUUCAGAUUCCAGUCAAAAUCUUUGGGGUUAUAGUUAUUAAUGGACCGAAGCUUCUCCAACACUGGGUGGGGUUCUGAAGGAGUAGAUCCAGAACCAGCCUGAGACUGUCCUACUCCAUUACCAUCCACCCC